CAUGUCUUUUUGAUAAUAAUUUAAGGUCAGGUCUGCUCAAUGAAAAUAAAUUGCCGCAGUAUUUUGACUGUGCAAAGGUAGCAAAAUAAUUAGUUUUUUAAUUGGAAACUUGAAUGAAUGAUUAGAUGAGAAAUUUUCUGUCUCUUUAUAAUUUAUUAUAGAAUUUAAUUUUUAAGUGAAAAAGCUUAGAUUUAAUUAAAAGACGAGAAGACCCUAUAGAGUUUGAUUUUGUAAAUUUUGUUUUUUUUUGGUAUUUAUUUAAUGAUUUAAAUUAAAAUUUUAUUGGGGAGUUAAGAAGAUUGAAUGAACUCUUUUAAGUCAAUCAUUGAUUUUUGAAUAUAAAGUCUUGUUUUUUGAAGUUUAAAUUAAAUUACCUUAGGGAUAACAGCGUAAUCUUUCUUAGAAGUUCUUAUUUUAAGGGGGGAUUGCGACCUCGAUGUUGGAUUAAAAUUAAUUUUUGGUGAAGGAGCUAAAAAAUUUAGUCUGUUCGACUAUUAAAAUUUUACAUGAUCUGAGU
RNAcentral lists this ribosomal RNA (517 nucleotides) under Lampyridae sp. UPOL RK0130. Its description in RNAcentral is "partial 16S ribosomal RNA". The stretch from base 381 to 517 matches the Rfam family "Bacterial large subunit ribosomal RNA", at positions 2473 to 2610 of the family's 2925-position model. The record is from RNAcentral. Lineage: Eukaryota; Metazoa; Arthropoda; Insecta; Coleoptera; Lampyridae.